ACGUGUGUCAUAGGCUAGACCACCCAGGUCUGUGCUGGCAGCCAAAGGUUCUAGAGCCAAUAUGUGUCAUAGGCUAGACCACCCAGGCCUGUGCUGGCAGCCACAGACUCUAUAGCCGAUGUGUGUCAUAGGCUAGACCACGCAGGUCUGUGCUGGCGGCCACAGGCUCUACUGCCGACGUGUGUCAUAGGUUAGACCACCCAGGUCUGUGCUGGCAGCCACAGGCUCUAUAGCCGAUGUGUGUCAUAGGCUAGACCACCCAGGUCUGUGCUGGCAUCCAAAGGUUCUAGAGCCAAUGUGUGUCAUAGGCUAGACCACCCAGGCCUGUGCUGGCAGCCACAGGCUCUACAGCUGACAUGUGUAGGAGGCUAGACCAUCCAGGUCUGUGCUGGCAGCCACAGGCUCUACAGUCGACGUGUGUAGGAGGCUAGACCACCCAGAAAGGAGUCCAUGUGGGACACAGUAACUGCUGUGUAAUACUAUCUGGUCUCAUGAGCGUCACAUACAAGAUCUACUGAAUUUCUACAAUUCUGAGAUGCAGAGAGGACAGGCAAUGAACAGAAAAGGUUUUGAAGAGUAAAUUAUUGCCAAGGCCACAUAGCAGGCAAUCUGGAUUUUCCAGGCAAGAUAUCAAUGAACUCUCACGAUGGCUCUGACAGGGGUCCUGCUUCUUAUCUUUACGUCGUUGACAAGAAAGCUGCACCUUAAGAGGCUUUAAAGACUGCCCCGCAUCCCACAGAGCUGGGGUUUUAAUAGAGGUGGGUGUCGCCUCGGCCCCACACAUCAUUCCCCAUAAAGCCCUACACAAAAUGCCCCCAGAUGGGAGCCUUCCAAAUCCCUAACAGGCAGUCCAGCAGAACACUGACCUGAGACUCAGAAGACCUGCGUCUGAAAUGAGGCUCUACCUCUGCGUCGGUGUGAGGACCUCAGCAGGCCUGUGGCGUCCCUCAUCCUGUCCCCGUGUGUGUUCGUGAACACGAGACCCGUUCCACCACCUGCACAGGCUGACGGCCAGGCUCAAGCCAGAUGCUGGAUCUACGUGCCGUGUGGACCAACAAGCACUCAGCAAGCGUAAGACGAAAAACCUUCUGUACCGCACGCCAGCUCGGGGGCCGUCCGAGCUCCACUUGAAUACUUCCAGGGACGGGGAGCUCACCGCUUCCUUUAGCAGCUUGUUCUAGUUAGUUUCUCCCUUGGUAACGGCCAAAGGGACUCGUCUAUAGUUCCACGGCCCCCGCCCAGGCAGGUCUUCCAGUGCUCGGCCGGCCGGCUAGGAAGAAUCAUUGCGGCGCCCACAGCAGCUACGAAAACCCGUAAGGGCUGCGGUCCUCGCUCCUGCCAUUCUGCCCUGGGCUCCCCGACCCAGGAGGAGGCAGGUGAAAGCGCCGAUGUUCCUGGCUUGCUCCGGCUCCUCUCCGACUGCUACCUCUUUACCUGUCCCUGCUUAUCAGACUCCUGGGCCCGGAGGAGAUGACUGAGAUCAAGGAAGGAAGGGGAGGCUGCUGAAGAAACUGUUGGCUGCUCCAGCCUCACACACUUCCUAAUGCCCCCCGCCUUUGCAAACACCUGGGGUGCUCCUGCGUUUCCUGUCACCCCUCGAGCUGGCCCUUGGGCUCUGAGGUCAGGAUCCCAUGGACCUUGGACCACUUCCUUUCUUCCCCAAUCCCAACCCCACAGCAACCAUCAGUCACUCUGAUACCUUAAAAGACUCCAGGAA
Non-coding RNA from Macaca mulatta (Rhesus monkey), 1717 nucleotides. The record is from RefSeq and is a predicted model, not a curated record. Lineage: Eukaryota; Metazoa; Chordata; Mammalia; Primates; Cercopithecidae.